Molecule: non-coding RNA, 31 nt
Filed under: Mus musculus (house mouse)
Lineage: Eukaryota; Metazoa; Chordata; Mammalia; Rodentia; Muridae
Source: RNAcentral
UUCAAAGAGACAUAAAAGAUAGACUGCGAAG